ACGAACGCUGGCGGCGUGCUUAACACAUGCACGUCGAACGGAAAGGCCCUGCUUUUGUGGGGUGCUCGAGUGGCGAACGGGUGAGUAACACGUGAGUAACCUGCCCUUGACUUUGGGAUAACUUCAGGAAACUGGGGCUAAUACCGGAUAGGAGCUCCUGCUGCAUGGUGGGGGUUGGAAAGUUUCGGCGGUUGGGGAUGGACUCGCGGCUUAUCAGCUUGUUGGUGGGGUAGUGGCUUACCAAGGCUUUGACGGGUAGCCGGCCUGAGAGGGUGACCGGCCACAUUGGGACUGAGAUGCGGCCCAGACUCCUACGGGAGGCAGCAGUGGGGAAUAUUGCACAAUGGGCGGAAGCCUGAUGCAGCAACGCCGCGUGCGGGAUGACGGCCUUCGGGUUGUAAACCGCUUUCGCCUGUGACGAAGCGUGAGUGACGGUAAUGGGUAAAGAAGCACCGGCUAACUACGUG
Molecule: ribosomal RNA, 467 nt
Filed under: uncultured bacterium
Lineage: Bacteria
Description: partial 16S ribosomal RNA
Rfam family: Bacterial small subunit ribosomal RNA
Source: RNAcentral